Molecule: long non-coding RNA, 541 nt
Organism: Oreochromis aureus
Lineage: Eukaryota; Metazoa; Chordata; Actinopteri; Cichliformes; Cichlidae
Source: Ensembl
UGCAGCAGAAGUUUCUCAUACCAGAAAAUUCAGCACUGAAAGUCACAGAUGAGCAGGGUAUAGAGGUGGAUGAGGAUGUCUUUCCUGAACUUGCAGCAGUCAAAGAGACAUCCUGGAAACACAAUCAUCCAAGAAGCUGCGUGACUGCUCAGACCUAACACACUAUGUGACACUCACACCUUGUGAUUUGACUGUCCUGAAGCAACAUGUGGAAGAGCCCUCCUCUCCAAAUCUAACAGAUACAUUGUCUGUCUCAACCACCAGCAGUCAGAGCAGUGACACAAGUGAUGCCGGACUUCAAAUGGUUCAGCCUCUAUUGGACAGCAUACAUGAAAGAAAUGUAAAUGAAACCAUUCCUAAGAACAUACUGGUCCUAGAAAGGGAGAAAGCCUAUCUGACCACACAAUGUCUCAACUGUUUAGCUGCCAAUAAUGGUGGAUGUUAUGCUAUUACAGUACUGUUACACAGAAUGUAUGUUAAUCCAUGCAGCAUUCAUAUUUGAAUAUGUUAUUUUUGAUAAAUAAAAUUCAUACAUUCAUAA